AAGAUUAAAACUCAAAGGAAUUGACGGGGCCCCGCACAAGCAGCGGAGCAUUCGGCUUAAUUCGACGCAACGCGAAGAACCUUACCAAGGCUUGACAUAUAGGGAAAAGUGGCAGAGAUGUCAUGUCCGCAAGGGCCCUAUACAGUUGGUGCAUGGUCGUCGUCAGCUCGUGUCGUGAGAUGUUGGGUUAAGUCCCGCAACGAGCGCAACCCUCGUUCUGUGUUGCCAGCAUUUAGUUGGGGACUCACAGGAGACUGCCGGGGUUAACUCGGAGGAAGGUGGGGAUGACGUCAAAUCAUCAUGCCCCUUAUGUCUUGGGCUGCACGCAUGCUACAAUGGCCGGUACAGAGGGCUGCAAUACCGUAAGGUGGAGCGAAUCCCAAAAAGCCGGUCUCAGUUCGGAUUGAGGUCUGCAACUCGACCUCAUGAAGUCGGAGUUGCUAGUAAUCGUAGAUCAGCAUCGCUACGGUGAAUACGUUCCCGGGGCUUGUACACACCGCCCGUCACGUCACGAAAGUCGGUAACACC
Molecule: ribosomal RNA, 528 nt
Filed under: uncultured Actinomycetes bacterium
Lineage: Bacteria; Bacillati; Actinomycetota; Actinomycetes
Description: bacterial SSU rRNA
Rfam family: Bacterial small subunit ribosomal RNA
Source: RNAcentral